This is a long non-coding RNA of Suricata suricatta (meerkat), 647 nucleotides long. RefSeq lists it as uncharacterized. The transcript is spliced from 2 exons. The record is from RefSeq and is a predicted model, not a curated record. Lineage: Eukaryota; Metazoa; Chordata; Mammalia; Carnivora; Herpestidae.
CGACAGGAAAUGACUCCUCCUGCAGAGGAGCCGCACGCAGCCUUGCCGCCGGCCGUCCGAACCGCAGCUGUCUGUCCGGCGCCACCCUUGCACGGGCGUGGGGCGCUGGUUUAAAGGAGGAUGAAACCAAAGAGGCAAGUGCUUUAAAGAACAAAACACCGGGUGUCCUGUGAAAGCUGACCGUCCCUGACUUUGAAGGUGCUCACGCUGGGCUCUGCGGAACUUGAGCGCCGGUCUAGUUUCCUGAGGUUCUGCGCAGGUUUAAGGCGGUGAGCAGCUGCGUGUGAAGGAUCCUUCCUGUCGAGCACGUGUGGAGUUUUCUCUGGAUCGCCGGGACGAGAACACUACGGCUUUGAAGGCUGCUGCCCUGGUGCCCGUCACGCUCCUGUCACAGCCUUCUCUGGGGAGUACAGAUGGCGGAGCUCUUCUAGGCGCCUCUGCUGCUUUGAAAUUAAACCUCAGAGAAACGACUUGCCUUGCGGUCUCCCCAUACUCGACUCUCUCCGGGAGGCUUCAGGCUCUGCAGUAACCGAAGGCCUAUCCUUGGGUGACUUCUUCCCAACUUUCUAUCCUCAUUUAAAGAUCGAGCUAAGCUCAAUGUACGGGAUUUAAAAAUACCUUCACACGUCAUUUGUCACCAUCUUAAA